Molecule: long non-coding RNA, 564 nt
Organism: Choloepus didactylus (southern two-toed sloth)
Lineage: Eukaryota; Metazoa; Chordata; Mammalia; Pilosa; Megalonychidae
Exons: 6
Source: RefSeq, a predicted model, not a curated record
AUUUGCUGUCUCACCCAUCGCUGGAUGCUGGCCCCUGGCACACAGUAGGCAUGCAGGACAAUGGGAACAAUAACUACCUCUGUUGGGGUUGGUGAGAGGUUUAUAUGAUCCUAUAUGUGUCAAGUGCUUAGAAAACUGGCUGUCACGAUGGGGAACCUGAGGUGGAAGGAGAGCAAGGAAUCUGCCUAAGUGCUGGCAGAUAAAGCCUGCUGACUGUCUGGUGGAUGACACUCGAGAAAGAGCUUUUGGGGCCUUUUGAUUUUUAAAGGAAUACAUUAAAGCAGCUCGCCUCAUGAAAAUCUUCUAGCCGGGAAUCAAUGGAGGAAUGACAGAUUUGCUUCCAUUCUUGAAGAGAAUUCACCAUUUUUGGUAUCUACUGAUCGCCUGCUACAAGUCAAACCCUGUGCUUGGGUGAAGGGGACCAGGUGCAUGAAAAACAGUGAGUCUCAAAGUCUCAAAGUGGGGUCUCCAGGCCAGGAGCAUCAGCUUACCUGUAAAACUACUUGAAAUUCACAUUCUCGAACUUCUCUCUGGACCUACUGAAUUGGACAUCCUGAGAGUGGG